RNAcentral lists this small RNA (77 nucleotides) under Xanthomonas melonis. RNAcentral describes it as "sX9 sRNA". It matches the Rfam family "Xanthomonas sRNA sX9". RNAcentral also lists the same sequence under 1 other name. The record is from RNAcentral. Lineage: Bacteria; Pseudomonadati; Pseudomonadota; Gammaproteobacteria; Lysobacterales; Lysobacteraceae.
AUGUGCCGCGCGCGUACGUUCCGGUUCCAGAGUACCGUCCGUCCCACCUGACGCCUGCUCGCGACGUGUCGUUAACC